GUGUAAAUUGGGAAAGUUUUUGCCUCUUCCUUGGUUGCAAAUGAUCAGCACUGCAUAUAUGAGACCUAAGAGUCCCUCUGAUGACACCACACAUCUGGGAAUGAAGAACUUCUUAGAGCUGAUUGGAAAUGGCAUUGCGGAGCUGAAACUUAACUGGAGGAAAUAUAUCUCCUGAAGAAGAAAAUAUAAUGCACUGUAAGGAUCUGUCUUCUGGUGAAAAAUUCAAGCCUAGAGAAAACUUGUCUGCUUUGUUAGGAAGAAUGGGUUGGACAAUUUUCUUCAAUUCCAAAGGAUAUCUGAAUGCCAUGCUGAGCCUAAUCUCUGCAGCAUGCUCUGUGCUUCUCAUCUCUUCCUGAUGCACUGCAUGGUUAUUCUGAAGGGGAGGAUAAAGAAACUGGCCACCAAGAUGGUAAUCACAAGUGGAAAUGAAGAAGAUAAAGGCAGUCAAGAAAAGGAAAGCAAAGAAGAAACCAUCUUGGCAAUGCUUGGAAUUAUUGGGACAAUUCUGAACCUCAUUGUGAUCAUUUUUGUGUAUAUUUAUACAACGUUGUAAACUAGAAGGCAUGCAACUAGACCAGAUGAAAUGGCCAUUAAGAGUGACAACAAACACUGCUGACUAUUGACAAGUUCUUUAAUCAGAAUUGACUCUGUAUUAUAUUAACACAUCAUAAAAGCACUGCCUGAAGGCAGCGAAGACUGAAGCACAAUUAAUUUAAGAAGACUUUUUCACACAGUAAUAAGCUUAACUGUUCUCUUGCCUCUCCCUUUCGGUUUGGUUUUCAGUUUGGGGGAGAAUGACUGCAGUUAUAUAAGUUGUAGCUUUGAAGAAAUCCACCAGGGAUAUGUUGUUUUAACACAAAAAAAAAAAAAAACAAAAAAAUAAGAAAAAAAAAAAAAAAAAAAGAAAGGAAAAGAAAGAAACUGCAACCUAUAUAUAAUUAGAAAUGUAUGCUGUAUACCUGCAAAGAUUGAACUCAAAGAUAGCUUCAUAGCACAGAUCAUGUGUCUGUUAGGUCAAAUGUUUUUUUCUCUUGGUUUUUGCUUUUACUUACAUUGAAUCUGACAAGCUUUUUAUUUAGAAUGAACAUAUGGUGCAAUCAUGAAAAAAAAAAACAAUUCUGUUGAGCAAGUUCUGCCUAAACCUGAUAAAAUGUUGGGAGAAAUACAUUACAUGGUUAUUUUUCCUUUCUCAUUUGCUUAACAUCUGUGUUUGUUCAUACCAAUGUUUAUAAAUAUAUAUUUUUAAUAAAUGUGCUAUAUUUUUAGCA
RNAcentral lists this long non-coding RNA (1268 nucleotides) under Lonchura striata (white-rumped munia). RNAcentral describes it as "domestica (Bengalese finch) lncRNA (ENSLSDG00000007898.1)". The record is from RNAcentral. Lineage: Eukaryota; Metazoa; Chordata; Aves; Passeriformes; Estrildidae.